UUUCUCUCACCUCUCCCUACCUCUUCCCUUCUUUUUCCGGUGAACCACCACUGCCGGCGACACCCACCAACACGGCACAACUCCGGCGACCCUCCAGCGGCGGCCAGAACCACCAGAAACGGCGGCAAGAGAGGGAGAAGAGAGAGAAAAUGUGCGCACAGUGGGCAGCGUCUUUUCGGGCCGAUUCCGGCUUCGUCCGACGUCCAAUCGAGGUGAUUCAGGUGGCGUUGGAAAGCUUGUUCUGAGAGUUUUCUUUUGAUACCAAUUUUGCAGCAAAUGGAGGUCGGAUGAGUGAGAUAUGAAGGAGAGAAAUUUUGGAUUUUUCAAGCUUUUGGGUCAGAUCUAGGACGAUACGACCAUUGGAUCGACAAUCCGAGACCACCUAUGGACUGAGGAAGAGGAGAGGAACAUGAUGGUGAUCGAGAUCAGCUAUUUUUCUGCAUCCAGCAGCCACAAUAGUCAUCGGUGUACUGCUACAGGAGGAGACCUUUUUCAGAAUAACCUGUCCCUUUCCUCGCAGGUUAUGAAAAGAUUACUUAAUUGUAUUAUUAUUCUCUAAAUUUAUAAUUAGGACUCCACAUGUACUAGUAGUAGCAUUAAUUCUAUUAUGGAUUACAGGAAUUUAAGUUUUUGUAUUAAUAAAUGAAAAAAAAAAAUUUCAUGAGUUUUGAAUAGUUUGUAAAUGAUGUAACAGGAUUGAGUUGGCCUCCCCUAAUUUUAGU
Molecule: long non-coding RNA, 722 nt
Organism: Hevea brasiliensis (rubber tree)
Lineage: Eukaryota; Viridiplantae; Streptophyta; Magnoliopsida; Malpighiales; Euphorbiaceae
Exons: 3
Source: RefSeq, a predicted model, not a curated record